Molecule: long non-coding RNA, 6704 nt
Filed under: Sus scrofa (pig)
Lineage: Eukaryota; Metazoa; Chordata; Mammalia; Artiodactyla; Suidae
Description: lncRNA (ENSSSCG00000053301.1)
Source: RNAcentral
GCAGCGGAAACGAAUCUGACUAGGAACCACAAGGAUGAGGGUUUGAUCCCUGGCCUCGCUCAGUGCGUUAAGGAUCCAGCGUUGCCGUGAACUGUGGUGUAGGUCACAGAUGCGGCUCGGCUCUGGUGUUGCUGUGGCUGUGGCAUAGGCCAGUGGCUACAGCUCUGAUUAGACCCCUAGCCUGAGAACCUCCAUAUACUGAGGGUGCAGCCCUGAAAAGACAAAAAGACAAAAAAAAAAAAUAAAAAAUAACAAAAUAGUAAAAUCAAUCUAGUGCCAGUGAAAUGCCUCCAGUCUCCUAGGUGGUUCAUAGGAAGUCAACUUUUAUUUAUUUAUUUUUCAGAUUCAUAUCUUUUUUAUAUAUUUAAGUCCAGUCUUGGCAUUUUUCUAGAUUUUACAAUAAGUCUAUACCUUUUAGAUAUAAAUAAUCAUUCCAUUAGAUACAAUUCAUUGAAUUAGCUUUAGUCCUACUGUCUGGGUACUUGGACCUUGAGAAUUUUACAGAGAUCAACAAGUCAGAAGUUCUGUACGCAAAUAAUACCUUCUCAGGCAUCUACUAUUUGAGAGGGAUUAUUCUUUGGUAGGGAAACUAAAUUACUUCCUGAUAUUAAAUAUCUUUAUGAUAUUCUAUCUUGAAAGGAAAAAUCUUAAAAUUAUAAAACAAAGGUCUCAGUGUCUUAAGAGACAAUAGCCAGUGGACACAAAACACAUAGUAAGCCCAACAACAACUACACAAAGAACAUCUCCUAUUUAUAGGAGACCUUUCAUCACGGCAGUUGAAAAGGCAUUUUAUAAACCAAUUAACACUUAACAAUUGUAUCUUGGAAAGAUACAUGUCAAAUAUCAGUCUAGUUAUUAAAACCAAAGCAGAGAGAAAUUAAGUGCAUUAACAAUAAGAUUAAGGAAUCGAUAUAAUGCAGGUAAAAUGGUGAUGAGGAAUAAAACUAUACUGUAAAUACUGGCUUUUAGCUGUGUGCAUUCAAACGUGUGUAGAGAAACUGGCCUGUCUUAUCAAUGAGCUCGCCCAACUGCAUAAUUCCCUGGUGGGAUCUUCCCAAGAGAGAAAUUCAUCUCUAUUUAGGAAUCUGGAACCCGUGGGGGGUCCAGGACAUAUUUUCAAUCAUUUGUAAAUUAAUCCAGUAAAUUUAAAAAACUCAUGGCUUUAAACAGAGAAGAACUAAAUCUUUCUGAGCGCUGUUAUCAGAAUACAGGGACUUUUUUUUUCUUUUUUUUUGGCUAUACCCAAGGCGUGCAGAAGAUCCCAUGCUAGGAUUCAAACCGGAGCCACAGCAGUGAUAAUGCUGAUCCUCAACCACCAGGCUAGGCCAACAGGGAACUCCAAAUGGGAAUUUUUCAUAUUGUCUCAUUUGAAUUACUCUGAAGUUUCAAAUCUCAGUCUGUAAAAUCAAUCAUGGCAUUUCCAAAAAAAUUAAAGAAUUUAUCAUUAUAGAGAUUAAAUGUAGGAAAAGUGGGUCUAGCUAACUUUAUUAUCUUUAUAGCUACUUUGUAUGUUAAGUUAAACUCUAAUUUAUGUAAUACAGAUGGGCCACUCUCUGUACAUAGGCAGGUCCCGUGUGUAUAUAUGUGACUCACAUAUUCUGGGUACAGGCAGAUCUUUAACACGCUGCAGAUUUGGUUUCAGAUACCACAAUAAAGUGAGUAUCGCAAAAUUAAGCGAGUCAUAUGCAUUUUUGUUCCUCUGUGCAUGUUAAAGUUACGUUUACACUAAACCGCACUCUACAAAGUGUACAACAGCAUUAUGUCUGAAAAACAUUCUACGAACCUUAAUUUCCAAAUCCUUUAUUGCUUAAAAAAAUGCCAUCAACUGAGCCUUCAAUGGGUUGUGGUAACAUUAAAGAAUGAAGAUCCCAGAUCACUAUAACAAAUAUAAUAAUGGAAAGGUUUAAAAUAGUCCAAGAAUUACCCAAAUGGACACAGAGCCACAAAGUGAGCAAAUGCUGUAGGAAAAAUAGCAUUGAUAGGCUUGCUUGACACGGGGCUGCCACAAAUGUUCAAGCUGCAAAAGAUGCACUGUCUGUGAAGCACAAUAAACCAGGCACGCCAGUGUCUCUGGGUGUCCUCACAGACACAUCGACACGCAUCGGGACACGGGUGGGAACGUGACUGUGAGAAAGUAUGGAGGUUCCCACACCAUCAGCUCUACUGAACUGACCCAUCCGUGCAAACUGGGACAUCUGUAGACUUUGGGUCAAUGGCCAAGAUAGGACAGGGACGCUGCCUGUGGGCUGCUCAGGACCACAGGCCUGGGAGCUCCAAACUCCAGGGAGGAGUCUGUGCCUGUCACUCCGCCCCAGAAAGUCUCUUCUAUGAAACUGUCCCCACCAACCUCUCUGUCCUUCAUCUCAGAGUCAGCUCCCUUGGGACCACUGGGUAGGGGUGAGGAAGGACCGUGACAGUGGGUGCUCUGCACCUGCUACUUCUGUUCCCUGAACGCUCUGCAGGGGCCUAGUUCUUCACUCACAGGAUCAGGACACUGUGCCUGUGCUCAUGCUGGUCCCACCUCCCAGAAUGCCUGUCCCAUGCAUUGCCACCUUCUGAAAUCCUAGCCACACAUCACUAAGUCUGUCUCACAUGCCUCAUUCCUCGGAAAUGCUCUACCUGAUCCCUCAUGUAGGCGUCUCUCAACCGAAACAGAUGUUACAUCAUCUUUGCCUAAAUGUCUAUAAACAUCACGACCACCUUCUAUCUUACACAGCUGAUAGAGCCAUUUUCUUACAUCUUCAACUGGACUGUAUAUGUUGACAGCAGGACCUAUACUGGGUUUGCCUUUGUACUAUUUGUAUGACCUGUGAAGUCCUGCACAGAAGAGGCAUUUAGUAGGGAGCUGAGAUUUUUAAUGCAGGCUAGAGAAAUGUAUGGAAAAAUCUAUUACCACAAUAUUUUGGUAAUGAUAAUUUGGACAGAGAGACAGAUGCAUUAGAUGGAUCCUAGAGCCAUAAAUACAAUUUCAAAUGGCCAACCCCUCAUAUUCACGAAGAGACAACAAUUUACCCAGGGAAAGUGGUUAUGGUCAUUUUACAUUCAAUUAAAAUGACAGCUCUCUUUGUCCAAACAUUUACUCUGUGCCAGUCUCUAUGCUGGGUUUUUAUUCAUUUAUUGCUUUUUAGGGCUGCAACUGUGGCAUGAGGAAGUUCCAAGGCUAGGGGGUCGAAUUGGAGCUACAGCCACCAGCCUAUGCUACAGGCACAGCAAUGCAGGAUCCGAGCCACAGCUGCAACCUACACCCAAGCUCUCCAUAACACCAAAUCCCCAACCCACUGAGCAAGCCCAGGGAUCAAACCUGCAUCCUCAUGGAUGCUGGUUGGAUUUGUUUCUGCUGCACCACAAGGGGAACUCCAUGCUGGCUGUUUUAUGUGUCUUAUUUAUGUUGUACAGCUAUCCAGGAGGUUAAGGCCUAUCACUUCCAUUUUGCACAAGAAAAGGUUGAGGCUUUUAAGAUUAACUAGUCUGCCUCAAAUAACAGAGCUCAUAUGUCACAGACAGGACUCAAAGCCACAGUGUCGGCCUCUUUUCCAUUCUGCUCAUGGCCUCCUUAUCACCUGGAUGGUCUGGUACCUUAUCAUGUCUCUCUGUGUAGCCAGAACAGAGAAAGUGGGGAGUGCUGUAGCCACAGUUAAAGGAGCCUACCAACCAUAGAGAUCUCACUGCCAAACAGUAAAAGCAUGACAGGGACACAGGUGACCAUAAUGUAGUGAGUGGCUCAGAGGGCCGACGUCUCUGAGCCAAGAGGGGACCUGAGGUCAGGUGGACUGGCUGUCAGCAGGAAGACCCAGCACCCAUAGCAGGGCUGGGAGAGAAACCUAAAGAAUCUAAAGCUAAGUGGGGCUCAAGGUGCCCGGGAAACAGGCCCAGUAGACCGGUGGCCCUGCCUAAGGCAGCGAGACCCAUGUCUGAUCCCAUCAGUGGCGAGAGAGCCUCACAGGCACUGCUACGCGGGGCUGUCUCUGACUCUGAGCCCAGGCAGAACCGAGCCUGGGGUGAAACACCUCCCGUCCCUACAGGAGGCUGGUGUAGGGAAGGCCGGACGGCAGGAUGGGCCCCAGACUACACUCAACAGAGGCAAAUAAGUGCAUUAGGAUCACAUAGAGCUGGAUUACAAUGUAAAGGCACAAUUUUCAUAGUACAAACAUGAGUAAAACUCUAAAGUAAAUGGCACAGAACUUUCUAGAGCCUCAUGCUCAGUCACAAGAGGGGUUCACCCAAACUUCGAUUCAGAAUAGCAUUUGAACAAGACCUUCCAGUAAAGUCCUUUCUUACCCAUACACAAUUUUUCAUGACUCGUAAACCAUGCUUUCUAAGAAACUUCCUUUGAUGGUUUGAAAUUGUGCUGAUGAAUCACCCAACCACUGAUGUACCAUAAGCUCUAUCUGAAAAGACUAUCUAAGAUGCUGUGGAAGCACAGAGGAGCCUGAAGAGGCAGGUGCAAGAGAGCUGACUCUGAGCAUGAGGAGACUUUCAGCAGCCAGGUGACAGGUCCAAGGUCGAGGGGCAGCUGUGCAUACUGGGGGCUGGUAGGACACAGGGCUCUGGGAGAAUGACCAUGACCUGAGCAUGGGGAUGGCAUGUGGGCUAGGACCUGGAGGAGAGGGCAGUGCCAAAGAGCUGCUGACGCCGUGUCUGCUCUGGUUUAGUCUCUGUCAGGACCCUGCCUUGGUCCCAGCCGAGGGCCCCAAGAUGAGCAUGACAGGGACACUGCCAGCAGACAGGGAUGCUGGCAGGACCAGAUCACACGCCCUCUGCCAUCUCCCACGUGUGUCUUCCCUGCUCCCUUCCAUGUGAUUUCAUCAACUCUGAGCAAGUCUCUGGGCCCUGCCUUGAGCUUGGGGUCCUGGUUCCUCACCCCCCAAUGAGUCAUGAUUCUAGGCUCUUCUCUGGUGGACACAAGCUUCCCCACUGCCUCUGCUGGAGUGGACAAUCGCACAUGUGUUGCUCAACCUUUAGCUGGACAAUAAAUGAGGCAAAUGGCUUAAACAAACCUUGCUUCUUCGGGGAAUCCAUGAUGUCAGGUCCAUCAGUACCAGAGGCCCGUCUGAGCUGUACCUGAAGCUCACAUUACUAAGGUCAAUGCUUCCUUCAUGGGGCCAGGAUGGCGGUGGACGAUACUCAUAUUCCCAGGGUGCUUCUUUCUCAAGGUCUGUAUAUUCAGUCACUCUUUCUACUGAAAUCAUCUGAAAGACACAUGACAUCACGUGGGUUAGGAACAAAGCGUCUUGUUUAUGGAGGUUCAGAGACUGUAAAUGAGAUGUUUUGCUUUUUUAUCUUUAUGUCGACUUUUCUCUGGUUAAGUUUAUCCCAGGUCUUAUCAUCCCCAAAGGACAGAAGGAGGCGUCUGAUGAGGCCUUUGAUGAUUUGCAAACUUGUUCAUCGUCCUGUAACACUGUCACUUACGGCCACUUCCUUCAACAUUGUAUUAAAACCAAAAGAACUAGAGAACUGAAUGCUAAGACUUUACUGAUCCACUUUUCAUACCUGAAUAAAAAAACAAGAGAGUUGUGUCAAAGGAAGGGAUACUGAUGGACCCUGAUCAGUAAUGUGUGGUACAGAAGGGCGUCUGUCAUGACGAGCAGAACUGGACAGUCAGCAAGCUCGUUUUAAUAACUAGUCACCUUCUCUACAAAAGUGAAGAAUGCAAUGGAAACAUUUCGUCUAUAUUGUUUUUCUCUCUUAGGAGAAGAUGCAAAUAUUCAAAAAAGGAGAUAAUUUACAAACUGACUAAGGCCUCCUAAACGACCAUUCACUCAACACCUCUGACAGCACAUUCUGAGACGGGGCUUAUCCUGCCAGAAAGAAGGGACACCUGCAGAUUCAGGUGUUCAACACAUACAAGAAUAAAUGCUAAAAUGGGGUGGGGAGGAUACCUAUUAAACAACCAAUCUCAAAAGCUUACAUUCUUCUUUUGUCAAAAAUGAGGAAUUACCAAUUAAGAAACAAAAAUAAAUAAGUCUCUAAGAAACUGACUUUAAUUCUUUCCAGGAUUUCAGAACCUCCCUCCUACAGAGACAUUUAUUACAUGUGAAGACAGCAUGUGAUGAACAGAAAACCUGCUGACCUGGCACACAUACGAGUUAGAAAAAGAUGUGUAUAUUUUAUUCCAUAUUAACUUUAAACAGAUGGGAGAAGAACCUAGAAAAUUCUGUUAACUACAAUGUAAAAACGUCAGUUUUAAUAUUUCACAUAAGAAUUGAUGUUAUACCAUUUGAUGGCAAGGAGACUAGAACAGGCUAAGAAGGUUAAGAUAAACACUUUACCAUAGUCUCGGCUUCGGCACUUUGCCUGACGCACCGCGGGACCAUCACCAUGAACGUGAGGGCGAGAGACAGCACCAGGCCCACCUGCCCGACAUUCAAAGCUAAAAGAGGAUGAAGAGGAGGAAUGAGGUCAGCGCCAUUCCUUUUUAAAUUUAUUUUAUUGAUUUACAAUGUUGUGAUAAUUUCUGCUGUACAGUAAUUCAGUUAUACAUACAGUCUUUUUUCACAUUCCUUGCCAUCCUGGUUUACCACAGGAUACGGAAUUCGGUUCCCCACGCUGUACAGUAGGACCUUGUCGUUUCUCCAUUCUGCAUGUAUCAGUUUGCAUCUGCUAACUCCAAACUCCCAGUCCAUCCAUCCCAGCCCCCUCCCCCGCUCCUCCUUGGCCACCACAAUUCUGUUCUUUAUGUCUGUGAGUCUGUAUCUGUUUCAUAA